GAAGGGGCAGCAUGGAGGCAGGAGGGCCUCCCUGCAGCUUGCUCUUCCCAUGCCAGCCCUGCUCCAUCUACUGGCAAGAAGAACGCGGAGCCUCCGAAAUUCACCCGCCGGGGUGCAGCUGCUCCUGCGGCUUCCCCAGACCAGGUUCCCCCCCAUGGCCUCCUUUCAUCUGCCAGCGAGGGCCAGGGGUGGGAAGAGCAGAGGGCGAACAUCGCUUUCUCCCUGGUCACAGGACGAGGAACUGCCCUCCCACGAGCUUCCCUCUGCUUUGGUUUCCAGCGUGUCAUCAAGGUCACAAAGGAGCACAUUAAGUAUUGUGCACACGCUGCACGUUUGCCAUUUCGUCUGCCGACUGAGAAGCUGAUUUCACUGCUUACUUGUGGUCAGUCAAACUCCAGUGAAAAUGCCCUGGAAAUUCCUUCCCAGAGCAGAAUGCUACCAGGGAUGGGGUGGGACGGCAGCACCAGCUCCUGUCCCAGCAAGUGCCCAGGAAACUAAGAUGCAGCAGCAAAAGGUGUUUAAGAGAACUUGCUGGGGAAAGCUCUGGUCUUUCCAAAAUACGGAAACCACGCAGCAAGCUUUUGCCAUGUAUGUAGCUGAAUGGUAUUGCAAACUUGCUCGGCUCUGUGCAAGGGGACAGGCUGGGGCCCCAGUGCUGUGCUGUGCAGGGGGUUUAAGAAAGCUCCCCUGUGAAAAGAAGUGGGAUUUUUAGCUCUGGCACCGUUGGCACUAAAUCGUUUUUCCUCUCGUCCUGCCUUCUGCUGUUGGGAAAUCAUCUGCACCUGGACUUUGCUUCUCUGGUCCGUAUGGGAAAAGCAUCCUGUUCUUCCUCCUGUGGUCCUUACAGAUGGCAUCUCUUCCCGCUCUGUGCUAGAGGUGAUCGGCUUGUUCUGGAAGUACAAGAUGAGAUGCAGCGCCUUGCCAUGCAGCUAAACCCUUCCCUGGGCCAGGUGGACUCCAGCGGUAGUUUGGUGGCUUGGCUGGAGCGAAGACGUCCUGCGGCCACCCACCAGCCCUGCGUGGUCUCAGCCCCACAAGCCGUGGAGCAGUGUGGGUCCUCUGCACUUCUGGCAGGACUCCUUGUGUGCCUCCCCAUCACGUCCUGGGCUCUGGGAAGUCUUCUUGAUGUGGGAACAUUGCUAUACAACUGCACAGAGCCAACUGUGUGGUGCUGUGUGGAAGCUAAGAGGUCUUCCUGGGUACCACCUGUCUGUGUGGUACAACCUCCUGCACCGCUCCUGUAUUAUUAUUUUCCAUUAUCUAGGAAAACAACCUUUUCUUCUCCUCCUCUUUACCUCAGAUAAUGGAAAGCUGUUUGUAUAUCCAUGAGCUUAAUAACUACUGGUCUUGGAAGAGCUUUUCUGGCUGGUUGUACAUUAACAUUAUUCACAUUUUUGAUGCAUGUGCAAUUAAUAAAACUUGGGCAAAACUUUAAAGCUUGGACUAU
This 1447-nucleotide long non-coding RNA is filed under the name Anser brachyrhynchus (Pink-footed goose). RNAcentral's name for it is "lncRNA (ENSABRG00000006249.1)". Lineage: Eukaryota; Metazoa; Chordata; Aves; Anseriformes; Anatidae. The record is from RNAcentral.